RNAcentral lists this ribosomal RNA (460 nucleotides) under uncultured bacterium. RNAcentral's name for it is "partial 16S ribosomal RNA". It matches the Rfam family "Bacterial small subunit ribosomal RNA", at positions 338 to 795 of the family's 1533-position model. The record is from RNAcentral.
CCUACGGGUGGCUGCAGUGAGGAAUAUUGGUCAAUGGGCGAUAGUCUGAACCAGCCAAGUAGCGUGAAGGAUGAAUGCCCUAUGGGUUGUAAACUUCUUUUAUAUGGGAAUAAAGUGAGGCAUGUAUACCGUUUUGCAUGUACUUUAUGAAUAAGGAUCGGCUAACUCCGUGCCAGCAGCCGCGGUAAUACGGAGGAUCCGAGCGUUAUCCGGAUUUAUUGGGUUUAAAGGGAGCGUAGGUGGGUUGUUAAGUCAGUUGUGAAAGUUUGCGGCUCAACCGUAAAAUUGCAGUUGAUACUGGCAGUCUUGAGUACAGUAGAGGUAGGCGGAAUUCGUGGUGUAGCGGUGAAAUGCUUAGAUAUCACGAAGAACUCCGAUUGCGAAGGCAGCCUGCUGAACUGUAACUGACGCUGAUGCUCGAAAGUGUGGGUAUCAAACAGGAUUAGAUACCCUUGUAGUC